Molecule: ribosomal RNA, 443 nt
Filed under: Halimeda copiosa
Lineage: Eukaryota; Viridiplantae; Chlorophyta; Ulvophyceae; Bryopsidales; Halimedaceae
Description: eukaryotic LSU rRNA
Rfam family: 5.8S ribosomal RNA (bases 105-261)
Source: RNAcentral
UUUUCGUAGGUGAACCUGCGAAAGGAUCAUUAUCGGCACAUCCCGAGUUCCUGGAAAGGACAGGCGCGCCCUCCCGCGAGGAGCAGGCGACGCCGAGGUCGAGAAAGCAUGCGUGGUCGACGGCUCGGUUCCCGCGUCGAUGAAGGACGUAGCGAGAUACGAAAGGUGUUGCGAAUUGCAAGAUUUCGCGAGUCAAUGACCAUCCGAAUGCAUCGCCGCCCUCCCCUCGCCCUCGGGCGGAGGGAGGACGCGUCGGCGACAUCGCCCCGCUCCAGCGCUCUCCUCUCGACGGAGAGGCGUCCGUGGGCGGAGCACCCGACGGACGGUCGGAGUGUCCGCCGAAGCUCGCGCAGCCGCGCCGCGCGGAUUCGACAGACCCGCGGCCGAGCACGAGAGAUCGCUGCGAUGUCGUCGGCGAGGAAACCCGCUGAACUUAAGCAUAU